GACAGAGGGUGCAAACGUUGUUCGGAAUUACUGGGCGUAAAGCGCGUGUAGGCGGCCCUGCAAGUCGGAUGUGAAAUCCCACGGCUCAACCGUGGAAGUGCAUUCGAAACUGCAGGGCUAGAGUUCGGAAGAGGCGAGUGGAAUUCCUGGUGUAGCGGUGGAAUGCGCAGAUAUCAGGAGGAACACCAAUAGCGAAGGCAGCUCGCUGGGACGAUACUGACGCUAAGGCGCGAAAGCGUGGGGAGCGAACAGG
RNAcentral lists this ribosomal RNA (253 nucleotides) under uncultured bacterium. Its description in RNAcentral is "partial 16S ribosomal RNA". It matches the Rfam family "Bacterial small subunit ribosomal RNA", at positions 524 to 776 of the family's 1533-position model. The record is from RNAcentral.